RNAcentral lists this ribosomal RNA (238 nucleotides) under uncultured bacterium. RNAcentral describes it as "partial 16S ribosomal RNA". It matches the Rfam family "Bacterial small subunit ribosomal RNA", at positions 96 to 334 of the family's 1533-position model. The record is from RNAcentral.
CGGCGGACGGGUGAGUAACGCGUGGGUAACCUACCCUGUACACACGGAUAACAUACCGAAAGGUAUGCUAAUACGGGAUAAUAUAUUUGAGAGGCAUCUCUUAAAUAUCAAAGGUGAGCCAGUACAGGAUGGACCCGCAUCUGAUUAGCUAGUUGGUAAGGUAACGGCUUACCAAGGCGACGAUCAGUAGCCGACCUGAGAGGGUGAUCGGCCACAUUGGAACUGAGACACGGUCCAA